GCGUAGAUAACAGUUACUUCGCCUACUAAGCGGGUGGCGCAGGUUCGAAUCCUGUCGCGA
Molecule: transfer RNA, 60 nt
Filed under: Granulicella aggregans
Lineage: Bacteria; Pseudomonadati; Acidobacteriota; Terriglobia; Terriglobales; Acidobacteriaceae
Description: tRNA-OTHER
Source: RNAcentral